Molecule: ribosomal RNA, 253 nt
Filed under: uncultured bacterium
Lineage: Bacteria
Description: partial 16S ribosomal RNA
Rfam family: Bacterial small subunit ribosomal RNA
Source: RNAcentral
UACGUAGGGUGCGAGCGUUGUCCGGAUUUAUUGGGCGUAAAGAGCGUGUAGGCGGCCUGAAAGGUCAGCUGUGAAAACUCGAGGCUCAACCUCGAGACGUCGGUUGAAACCAUCUGGCUAGAGUCCGGAAGAGGAUGGUGGAAUUCCCGGUGUAGCGGUGAAAUGCGUAGAGAUCGGAAGGAACGUCGAUGGCGAAGGCAGCCACCUGGCAUAAUACUGACGCUGAGGCGCGAAAGCGUGGGGAGCGAACAGG